GCGUAUUCUGUCUCUUGAAUACGUGGUAACGGUAGACGUCCCAUCAGUCAAGUUUUCCGGGCUGUGAGAGCGAGUAGCUAGGGGAUCGUGGCUACUCGCUCUCGCUGUUGUAUCCAUGGAGUUUAACGGUACUCUUCCUUAAACUCUGACUCUAGAUUGAUUUUACAAUUGUAUCUUAAUCUCUGUUAUGACUGCGAUUUAAUAAUCAUACAGUUGGUAUCGGAAUCAUAGUUAUUAUUGUGGAUUUUGCAUUUGAUGACAACGAAUUUUGAGCCGGAAAAUCGAGAGAACGAGCAGCUGAGAUUAUCCAUGGAGAGUUCAAGAGUAAAGCAAAGAAGAAAAGGAGAAGAAGAGUUUGUGAUUUGGUGCAGAUGGUUAAUUUUUCCAUGAUAGAAGUUGAAUAAUUAACCAAGAAAGAAAAAUAAAUCACUGUCAAAUAACCCUAGGUGAUCAAUAUUGGUGAAGAAAGUGAAUUGCAAGGUGAAAAUUAAUGUUGGUGGAGAAAGACCCAAAUUUAUAGAACACGAAAAUCGAGAUGUUUAUUGCUAUCUGUUUGACUUUAUGUGAUAUAAUUAGUACUAUUUGGAGAGUGAAAGAGAUUUUUCUUUGACUAUGUUUUUUGCAAAUAUUUUGAAUUGCUGACUGUUGUGAC
This 652-nucleotide long non-coding RNA is filed under the name Nicotiana tabacum (common tobacco). RNAcentral describes it as "long non-coding RNA (NTAB_LNC010687)". The record is from RNAcentral. Lineage: Eukaryota; Viridiplantae; Streptophyta; Magnoliopsida; Solanales; Solanaceae.